This 465-nucleotide ribosomal RNA is filed under the name uncultured Klebsiella sp. RNAcentral describes it as "bacterial SSU rRNA". It matches the Rfam family "Bacterial small subunit ribosomal RNA", at positions 338 to 795 of the family's 1533-position model. Lineage: Bacteria; Pseudomonadati; Pseudomonadota; Gammaproteobacteria; Enterobacterales; Enterobacteriaceae. The record is from RNAcentral.
CCUACGGGCGGCUGCAGUGGGGAAUAUUGCACAAUGGGCGCAAGCCUGAUGCAGCCAUGCCGCGUGUGUGAAGAAGGCCUUCGGGUUGUAAAGCACUUUCAGCGGGGAGGAAGGCGUUAAGGUUAAUAACCUUGGCGAUUGACGUUACCCGCAGAAGAAGCACCGGCUAACUCCGUGCCAGCAGCCGCGGUAAUACGGAGGGUGCAAGCGUUAAUCGGAAUUACUGGGCGUAAAGCGCACGCAGGCGGUCUGUCAAGUCGGAUGUGAAAUCCCCGGGCUCAACCUGGGAACUGCAUUCGAAACUGGCAGGCUAGAGUCUUGUAGAGGGUGGUAGAAUUCCAGGUGUAGCGGUGAAAUGCGUAGAGAUCUGGAGGAAUACCGGUGGCGAAGGCAGCCCCCUGGACAAAGACUGACGCUCAGGUGCGAAAGCGUGGGGAGCAAACAGGAUUAGAUACCCCGGUAGUC